UACGUAGGGUGCAAGCGUUAAUCGGAAUUACUGGGCGUAAAGCGUGCGCAGCCGGUUGUGCAAGACCGAUGUGAAAUCCCCGGGCUCAACCUGGGAACUGCAUUUGUGACUGCAAGGCUAGAGUACGGCAGAGGGGGAUGGAAUUCCGCGUGUAGCAGUGAAAUGCGUAGAUAUGCGGAGGAACACCAAUGGCGAAGGCAAUCCCCUGGGCCUGUACUGACGCUCAUGCACGAAAGCGUGGGGAGCAAACAGG
This 253-nucleotide ribosomal RNA is filed under the name uncultured bacterium. RNAcentral describes it as "partial 16S ribosomal RNA". It matches the Rfam family "Bacterial small subunit ribosomal RNA", at positions 524 to 776 of the family's 1533-position model. The record is from RNAcentral.